GAAGAAUGUAUAACACAUCAUAGAGUGUAAAAAAUCAUAGAGUGGAUUAGUGCACCUACCGGAAAGUUAUGCCUAACGAUAGAAUGAGAUAUAAUUGGAUAAACCUCAAGACCCAAAUGAGAACAGCCAGCAGAUGUCCCUGCUUGAUAUGAGAUCACCUCAACCCUUUUUUGGAAAAGAUGAGUGCACAUUCUCCAAAACAAUCUGACUGCAACUUUUACCUUGAACCAGUUUCAAUGAGCUGACCUUCAUUGUUUCCCUUGUUCCCUGCCUUUUUUCACCCUGGCAGCACAGACUGAAAAUUCUCCUCCAUAUGGUUUUCUUCAGGUGUGACGUCAUGUCCAGUCAGGUGACCCAGAAGGAAGAUAAAAAGGAGGUCACCUGAUCUCUAAACCUCAUUUCCAGCAGACAUCAGGAGAUGAGCUCCACCUUAGCCUGUUCAAGCAUUCUUCUUCUUCUUCUUCUUUUGGCUGCUCCCAUUAGGGGUCGCCACAGCGGAUAAUCUUCUUCCAUAUCUUUUUGUCUUCUGCAUCUUGUUCUUUAGCCUUUCAAGCAUUACUGGAAGAAAAGUGAGCUCAUCUUUGGAAACCGGGACCAACAGAGCCUCUGUAAAGCCUUUCUGUGGCGACUUUAUUAAAAAUUUAAUUUUAAACUGCCGGAGAGCCUGUCAUUGUACUUUGAAACUUCGAUUUAAAAA
Polypterus senegalus (gray bichir) is the source of this 697-nucleotide long non-coding RNA. RefSeq lists it as uncharacterized. NCBI's taxonomy places the organism in Eukaryota, Metazoa, Chordata, Cladistia, Polypteriformes, Polypteridae. The record is from RefSeq and is a predicted model, not a curated record. The transcript is spliced from 4 exons.